GGAAUAUUGGUCAAUGGACGAGAGUCUGAACCAACCAAGUCGCGUGAGGGAAGACUGCCCUAUGGGUUGUAAACCUCUUUUAUAAGGGAAGAAUAAGUUCUACGUGUAGAAUGAUGCCUGUACCUUAUGAAUAAGCAUCGGCUAACUCCGUGCCAGCAGCCGCGGUAAUACGGAGGAUGCGAGCGUUAUCCGGAUUUAUUGGGUUUAAAGGGUGCGUAGGCGGUUUAUUAAGUUAGUGGUUAAAUAUUUGAGCUAAACUCAAUUGUGCCAUUAAUACUGGUAAACUGGAGUACAGACGAGGUAGGCGGAAUAAGUUAAGUAGCGGUGAAAUGCAUAGAUAUAACUUAGAACUCCGAUAGCGAAGGCAGCUUACCAGACUGUAACUGACGCUGAUGCACGAGAGCGUGGGUAGCGAACAGGAUUAGAUACCCUGGUAGUCCACGCCGUAAACGAUGCUCACUGGUUCUGUGCGAUAUAUUGUACGGGAUUAAGCGAAAGUAUUAAGUGAGCCACCUGGGGAGUACGUCGGCAACGAUGAAACUCAAAGGAAUUGACGGGGGCCCGCACAAGCGGAGGAACAUGUGGUUUAAUUCGAUGAUACGCGAGGAACCUUACCUGGGUUUAAAUGGGAAAUGUCGUAUUUGGAAACAGAUAUUCUCUUCGGAGCGUUUUUCAAGGUGCUGCAUGGUUGUCGUCAGCUCGUGCCGUGAGGUGUCGGGUUAAGUCCCAUAACGAGCGCAACCCUUACCGUUAGUUGCUAGCAUGUAAUGAUGAGCACUCUAACGGGACUGCCACCGUAAGGUGAGAGGAAGGCGGGGAUGACGUCAAAUCAGCACGGCCCUUACACCCAGGGCUACACACGUGUUACAAUGGCCGGUACAGAGGGCCGCUACCAGGUGACUGGAUGCCAAUCUCAAAAGCCGGUCGUAGUUCGGAUUGGAGUCUGUAACCCGACUCCAUGAAGUUGGAUUCGCUAGUAAUCGCGCAUCAGCCAUGGCGCGGUGAAUACGUUCCCG
This 1016-nucleotide ribosomal RNA is filed under the name uncultured bacterium. RNAcentral's name for it is "bacterial SSU rRNA". It matches the Rfam family "Bacterial small subunit ribosomal RNA", at positions 358 to 1376 of the family's 1533-position model. The record is from RNAcentral.